This 700-nucleotide ribosomal RNA is filed under the name uncultured diatom. Its description in RNAcentral is "bacterial SSU rRNA". It matches the Rfam family "Bacterial small subunit ribosomal RNA", at positions 94 to 825 of the family's 1533-position model. Lineage: Eukaryota; Bacillariophyta. The record is from RNAcentral.
AGUGGCGGACGGGUGAGUAACACGUAAGAAUUUGCCUUUAGGAGGGGGAUAACAACUGGAAACGGUUGCUAAUACCCCAUACGCUUUCGAGUGAAAUGGAUUUCCGCCUAAAGAGAAGCUUGCGGCUGAUUAGCUUGUUGGUAGGGUAAUGGCCUACCAAGGCGACGAUCAGUAUCUGGUUUGAGAGGACGAUCAGACACACUGGAACUGAGACACGGUCCAGACUCCUGCGGGAGGCAGCAGUAGGGAAUUUUCCGCAAUGGGCGAAAGCCUGACGGAGCAAUACCGCGUGAGGGAUGACUGCCUAUGGGUUGUAAACCUCUUUUUUCAGGGAGGAACAAAAUGACGUGUACCUGAAGAAUAAGCAUCGGCUAACUCCGUGCCAGCAGCCGCGGUAAGACGGAGGAUGCAAGUGUUAUCCGGAAUUACUGGGCGUAAAGCGUCUGUAGGUGGCUCGAUAAGUCAACUGUUAAAUCUUGAAGCUCAACUUCAAAAUCGCAGUCGAAACUAUCGGACUAGAGUAUAGUAGAGGUAAAGGGAAUUUCCAGUGGAGCGGUGAAAUGCGUAGAUAUUGGAAAGAACACCGAUGGCGAAAGCACUUUACUGGGCUAUUACUGACACUCAGAGACGAAAGCUAGGGUAGCAAAUGGGAUUAGAUACCCCAGUAGUCCUAGCCGUAAACAAUGGAUACUAGGUGUUG